RNAcentral lists this unclassified non-coding RNA (325 nucleotides) under Burkholderia sp. b13. RNAcentral describes it as "Long range pseudoknot". The record is from RNAcentral. Lineage: Bacteria; Pseudomonadati; Pseudomonadota; Betaproteobacteria; Burkholderiales; Burkholderiaceae.
ACCGACGACGGGGAUUACAACGUCAAGCUGCGCAACCUGACGCGAUUCCUUGAGGAAGGCGACAGGACGAAGAUCACGUUGCGUUUCCGUGGGCGCGAGAUGGCGCACCAGGAAAUCGGCAUGCGGAUGCUGGAUCGUCUGCGCCAAGAUCUAGACGAAUACGGUCAGGUCGAGCAAAUGCCGAAGAUGGAAGGCCGCCAGAUGGUGAUGGUGCUGGCGCCGAAAAAGAAGAAGUGAUGGGCGUGCGUUGCGCGCGCGGCACGCUGCCGCGUGCGAUGCAACGCGCGAUGUAGGUUUCGAAGGCGGCCGGUACGGCGUCUUCCGA